UACGUAGGGUGCAAGCGUUGUCCGGAAUUAUUGGGCGUAAAGAGCUCGUAGGCGGUUUGUCGCGUCUGCUGUGAAAUCUGGGGGCUCAACCCCCCAGCCUGCAGUGGGUACGGGCAGACUAGAGUGCGGUAGGGGAGAUUGGAAUUCCUGGUGUAGCGGUGGAAUGCGCAGAUAUCAGGAGGAACACCGAUGGCGAAGGCAGGUCUCUGGGCAGUAACUGACGCUGAGGCACGAAGGCCAGGGGAGCAAACGGG
RNAcentral lists this ribosomal RNA (254 nucleotides) under uncultured bacterium. Its description in RNAcentral is "partial 16S ribosomal RNA". It matches the Rfam family "Bacterial small subunit ribosomal RNA", at positions 524 to 776 of the family's 1533-position model. The record is from RNAcentral.